RNAcentral lists this transfer RNA (74 nucleotides) under Virgibacillus pantothenticus. RNAcentral describes it as "tRNA-Gly". It matches the Rfam family "tRNA", at positions 13 to 71 of the family's 71-position model. From Rfam's summary of the family: Transfer RNA (tRNA) molecules are approximately 80 nucleotides in length. Their secondary structure includes four short double-helical elements and three loops (D, anti-codon, and T loops). Further hydrogen bonds mediate the characteristic L-shaped molecular structure. tRNAs have two regions of fundamental functional importance: the anti-codon, which is responsible for specific mRNA codon recognition, and the 3' end, to which the tRNAs corresponding amino acid is attached (by aminoacyl-tRNA synthetases). tRNAs cope with the degeneracy of the genetic code in two manners: having more than one tRNA (with a specific anti-codon) for a particular amino acid; and 'wobble' base-pairing, i.e. permitting non-standard base-pairing at the 3rd anti-codon position. Lineage: Bacteria; Bacillati; Bacillota; Bacilli; Caryophanales; Bacillaceae. The record is from RNAcentral.
GAGGGUUCGAUUCCNUGGUAAAACCUCAGCCUUCCAAGCUGAUGACGAGGGUUCGAUUCCCUUCACCCGCUCCA